This is a long non-coding RNA of Ostrinia furnacalis (Asian corn borer), 457 nucleotides long. RefSeq lists it as uncharacterized. The transcript has 4 exons. Lineage: Eukaryota; Metazoa; Arthropoda; Insecta; Lepidoptera; Crambidae. The record is from RefSeq and is a predicted model, not a curated record.
GAACUCCAUUAACUGUUGAAGAAGAAAUUAAUAACCAUAUACAUAGUAAUAAUAAACAUAAUAAAUAAGUAAUACAAAGAAAUAAGACUGGACUGCUACAGAGCUACCUGAAAAUUUAGUAGAAGAAUUUAUUGUUGCGACUGAAGGACAAUACUCACUGGGGGACAAUAUACGUACAUAGUUCAAGAAAAUAAAGGCUUUAUAAGCAACAACACUACGUGCUUCCGAUUCUACGUAGCAUUCGGUUUCAAGAAAAUAAACGAAGUUGUAGUUGUCAAAGUUGCUCGCAGCCGGCAGACGGAGCGGUAAGUCGCCGCUGCCAUCCAUCAUUUCGUGGCCAGUACCAGCACCAAGUAGGUGGAGUAGUUUAGUACAUUUUGUGCUCAUUUCAGAUGUUUGUGUGUAAUUUCUUAGCAGUGACACGACAUAUUCGUGUCUAGAAUUGUGAAUGUAAUAU